CUCUCUCUCUCUCUCUCUCUCUCCUUCAAAUUACAUUUUCAAUACUAUUUGCAUGAAUUCAGAAGACCCCCUCAACAAGGCUCUCAAUGCACCCAACAAUUCUUGCACUUCGCAAAUACAGAAGCCAUUAAUUCUUGCACUUCGCAAAGGUAAUAAACUAUUAGUUAUUUCAUUUUUUCUCCUUCAAUUUGUCUUGCAGGGCAAUUAUAUUGAGUUCGAGAGGAAAUUUGUCGCUGUGUACUUUCCUCCCAAUGCCAAAAAGAGGUGGUGUGUUUCUCUGUAAGGAAAUGGUCAGCAAACAACUGGUGUUGUCCCUCGGGUUUGUUGCUGGAGAAAACCUGUCUCCUUGUUGAUGUUAGGACUCAUUGGGGAGAUUGAAUCUAGGUAGUCUUGUUGUAGGGGAUUCUGGUACCCGUAAUAUUACGUCAUCCUUCAUCAUGUGUACCUAAUAUGGGUUCUUUCAGUAUUGGACCAAGAGGGUGAUUCUCUGAUUUGUUUGAUGAAAUUUCCAAAUUAUAUUUGUUAUGUAGUUAAUGUUUGUUCAGGUACUAAUACAAAGUGUCAAAUGGAUUAUAUCUCCUCUCUUAGUUAUUUAUAUUGGACGUUAACAUGCAACAUGCUUUUUUAAUAUAAUUUUUGCAGGAUGUAUGGCACUGCAAAAUAUGCAAUCCCAGGCCUGGUCGGGGUUUUGGCAUUCUUUUUGGUUUAUUGGUCUUGAAAAUUUUUAGUGCUGCUAUCUUGUUUUUCAGUUUGCGAUUAGUGUUAUCCCCAAUCUCAUAAUCACGCUUGUUAGUUGUUGGCACUCUAGAAUUUUUAAGACAAGAUUGUUCUUCACUUUUAUACAUUCUAUUUGACAUUUACCCUUUUCAGAAGCUAGGGAUGAAGUUUUACCCAGGCUUUGCAAAUUCAAGUAUGAUAGUGGUACCCUGGAAGAACUUAUCAAUGUUGAUAUGCCACGUGAAUAUUAGAAUGCAGCAGGGCAAAUGGCCCUAGACUAUGCGAAAGCAAUAAAGGAAAGUGUAUCUGAGCAACUGCGUGUAGUUCGUGAUGGUCAGCUAAGAAUUGUUUUUCCACAUGAUCUAAAGAUUUGUUCUUAGGAAUUUUGUGCUCGGCGUCAUGAGGAGCUCAUUCAUCCAAGGUUGAUCAUUCCUCAGGUCAGAGUCAUAGAAAUGCCCGUCGUUCUCAUUGCUAUAGUUCAGAACUUGAUGACAUAGAUGUGAAAGGAAAGUCCACAAGCAGAGGAUACCAAUUAAAGAUCAUAGAUCAAGAUUACACAGAAAUUCGUUUUGAUGACUCACAGGAUUCCUCCUGUAAAAGCAUGCCAUAUGGACCAGCUGGGUUAGCAGGUAAUGAAGAGCAGAAGAGGGAUCUAUAUAUCAGAGCUCAAAAGAAGUGAGGAAAGUGAAGAAUUGGGAGAGUUUUUGAGGGAAGAAAGAUUGAAUUGUUGCUCCAGGAAACUCUUAACAUUGGAGGAGCUCCUCUACUGUCUUGGUAACACCCCUGGCCUGGUGGUAUAGACUCUCUGCUAUAACUGCAACCAGGGAGAAAACCGCUAAAUGGCUUGAGUUGCAA
This is a long non-coding RNA of Macadamia integrifolia, 1572 nucleotides long. RefSeq lists it as uncharacterized. Lineage: Eukaryota; Viridiplantae; Streptophyta; Magnoliopsida; Proteales; Proteaceae. The transcript has 4 exons. The record is from RefSeq and is a predicted model, not a curated record.